AACAUCUAAGUACCCCGAGGAAAAGAAAUCAACCGAGAUUCCCCCAGUAGCGGCGAGCGAACGGGGAGGAGCCCAGAGCCUGAAUCAGCAUGUGUGUUAGUGGAAGCGUCUGGAAAGGCGCGCGAUACAGGGUGACAGCCCCGUACACAAAAGCGCAUGUGCUGUGAGCUCGAUGAGUAGGGCGGGACACGUGGUAUCCUGUCUGAAUAUGGGGGGACCAUCCUCCAAGGCUAAAUACUCCUGACUGACCGAUAGUGAACCAGUACCGUGAGGGAAAGGCGAAAAGAACCCCGGCGAGGGGAGUGAAAAAGAACCUGAAACCGUGU
Molecule: ribosomal RNA, 326 nt
Filed under: Salmonella enterica subsp. enterica
Lineage: Bacteria; Pseudomonadati; Pseudomonadota; Gammaproteobacteria; Enterobacterales; Enterobacteriaceae
Also listed under: 1 other name
Description: partial 23S ribosomal RNA
Rfam family: Bacterial large subunit ribosomal RNA
Source: RNAcentral